This is a long non-coding RNA of Ictalurus punctatus (channel catfish), 976 nucleotides long. The record is from Ensembl. NCBI's taxonomy places the organism in Eukaryota, Metazoa, Chordata, Actinopteri, Siluriformes, Ictaluridae.
GUGGGAUUGGUCAAGAGUGUCCGUAGGAGCGGGUGGGAUUGGUCAAGAGUGUCCGUAGGAGCGGGUGGGAUUGGUCAAGAGUGUCUGCAGGAGCGGGUGGGAUUGGUCAGAAUUCCUUGGGAAGCAGGAGGGAUUGGUCAGAAUUCCUUUGGGAGCUGUCCGUCUUGGUCAAGAGUAUCUGAUGGAGCAGAAGAGAUUGGUCAGAAUUCCUUUAGAAGUGGGGGAGAUGGGUCAGACUUCCAUCAGGAACAGGUGGGAUUAAAAACACCUCUCAGCCACCAGGACGUUCGUAGUCAUCUCGCAUAUCCUUGUUAAAUGAAAAUUCUAUCGUUAAUUAGGAAGCGCUUGCACCAUUAAUGAUUCAAGUCACAAAGUAAUUGCACGCUGUAACUCUAUAUCCGCUGUAAUAUGUCACCUUGUGCAGGCUGAGCAGAUAAUGCACUAAAAUAUUCACGUUCAGUAGAAUAGUGAGGUUUGCAUUUGCAGCACAAAGGCCAUGGAUUGUUUAACUAAAUUGUUUCAUCAAGAUGAUAAACAGCAGGAGUUGUGAAGUGUACGGCUGUAGUACACCAGCGAGUACUGGAGUGUGAAGUGUACGGCUGUAGUACACCAGCGAGUACUGGAGUGUGAAGUGUACGGCUGUAGUACACCAGUGAGUACUGGAGUUGUGAAGUGUACGGCUGUAGUGCACCAGCGAGUACUGGAGUGUGAAGUGUACGGCUGUAGUGCACCAGCGAGUACUGGAGUGUGAAGUGUACGGCUGUAGUGCACCAGCGAGUACUGGAGUGUGAAGUGUACACCUGUAGUGCACCAGCGAGUACUGGAGUGUGAAGUGUACGGCUGUAGUACACCAGCGAGUACUGGAGUGUGAAGUGUACGGCUGUAGUGCACCAGCGAGUACUGGAGUGUGAAGUGUACGCCUGUAGUACACCAGCGAGUACUGGAGUGUGAAGUGUACGCCUGUAGUACACCAGCG